Molecule: long non-coding RNA, 1283 nt
Organism: Eucalyptus grandis
Lineage: Eukaryota; Viridiplantae; Streptophyta; Magnoliopsida; Myrtales; Myrtaceae
Exons: 6
Source: RefSeq, a predicted model, not a curated record
CUAAAACAAUCUCACCCUCCCAACCAAGAGAAAUUUGGAUAAGUGGCUUGGUGACUUGAUGUAAGAGUUGGGACCUUGGAGCAUUUUCUGAAACCAGAAGAACCAGAGACACUGCUCAAGAAGCACUGCUUUUGGACUCCCCAGACAGGAAGGCCCAUUCCUUGUCCACUUGUUUUGAGUCUCCAACCCAGACAAGGUAGCUUAAAAGAUUGCGCUCUAGACAUCGCCGUUCAGAAGUCGUGUCUUGGUUUUGGAUGGUUUCAUAGAAGCUCAAGCUUUUCGGACCAGAAGCCUAGUCAUUACCAGACAUUGGUGUUUUACUGAUAGAGAUACCGAGGACACAGCCGCUAAAACUGAGGCCGCAUUUAUGGAGAUGGAUCAUCGUAGUCUUCUCCCGUAUUCUUCUCCCUUCUUUUCGCUCUUUCAAGGGAUAAGAACUUAGCAGAUAGAGUUUUCAGAGGAUUCAGUAGAUAGAGCUAUCUGGACUUAUCGAGAGAUGAACACGAUCAUUGGAAACAAUUAAAAUCGCCUCUUAUAGUCUGGAAAAAAAGACCUUCAUAAACUGCCAAGAAAGAAGAAUCGAGAAAAGCGAACUUUUCCUGGACAACCAUGGAUGGAUUUGAUUCUGAAAGACCAAAGCCAUGGAACAUAUAUACCAAUUCAGAUCCGAGCUCAUCCCAAGCAACACUAGAUAGGGAAACUCCAUGGAAAAGCUUUGGAGCAUCAAUGAAUGCCAUAUCUUUUGGAUUUGUUGCCACAGCAAUUUUGAUAUCCUUGUUCCUUAUUAUGGCUAUCUUUGAACAUCUGUUCAGACCCAGUCCCUCUUUCACUUCACCUGAACCCAUGAACAACAGUUCUCUGGAAGCAGGAGAGACAGAGAAGCUUCGCAAUCCGCAGCUAGUGUCUACGCACUAUGCUUCAGACAUCCCGGUGCUAAUGCCGGCGCAGCACUGUCCUACCUACAUUGCUCAACCUGCUCCUCUCCCCUGUCCAAGAGAAGGAUUUUAUCGGCCUUAUCAUGAAGACAAAUUUUCUCUUUCAGUACGUAGUUCCCGCAAUGAGAGCCAUCACUGAAUCUGCUUGUAUAUCGAUAGGGGCAUGAGAUCCUCAUCUGUGAACCGCAUCUCACUUUACAACACCCCUCGCAACAAAAAAGAAACGAGAUAAAUGAGUAGUUUAGGCUUAUGGAGACGAAUAGGAGCAGCGAGGGAAGUUCGGGUUCAGUUUUCAUUCUACAAUGUACGAUAUAAUGCAUCAAUGAAAAUGAGUGAAGAGCUUGAUAA